UCUUGCUUCCCAAAAAAACCGUAAAACCCAUAUCAACCAUUGAUAAUUGAGAUCACUCCCAAUUCAAUAAAAGCAAGAUAGUAAAGGAUCGCAAUCCAUUGUACAACCUGUGUUGAUUGGUGAUUUCAUCGUGAUGAUAAUCGCAAUCCACCGCCAUUCAACCCAGAUCUUAACUUUCCUUAAAAUUCCGCAGAUCCCCUUUUUGAUACCUAAAUCCAUUCUCAAUCGACCCGAGUAACAGUCCUGAUACGCCGUAUCAAGGUCUUGAUCAUGCCAGAACAAACCGAACCAAUCUCCUGCUCCAAUCCCCGGCUCCCAUC
Molecule: long non-coding RNA, 320 nt
Filed under: Brassica napus (rape)
Lineage: Eukaryota; Viridiplantae; Streptophyta; Magnoliopsida; Brassicales; Brassicaceae
Description: long non-coding RNA (BNAP_LNC026115)
Source: RNAcentral